Molecule: RNA transcript, 1103 nt
Organism: Sapajus apella (tufted capuchin)
Lineage: Eukaryota; Metazoa; Chordata; Mammalia; Primates; Cebidae
Gene name: guanine nucleotide-binding protein G(s) subunit alpha-like
Exons: 1
Source: RefSeq, a predicted model, not a curated record
GCUAGAGAUUCUGGUAAAAGCACCAUUGUGUUGUAUGAGAAUUCUGCAUGUUAAUGGGUUUAACGGAGAGGGCAAUGAAGAGGACCUGCAGGCUGCAGGGAGCAUCAGUGAUGGUGAGAAGGCAAUCAAAGUGCAGGACAUCAAAAACAAUCUGAAAGAAAUGAUCAAAACCAUUGUGGCUGCCAUGAGCAACCUGGUGUCCCCCGUGGAGCUGGCCAACCCCGAGAACCAGUUCAGAGUGGACUACAUCCUGAGUGUGGUGAGCAUGCCCAACUUUGACUUCCCUCCUGAAUUCUACGAGCACGCCAAGGCUCUGUGGGAGGAUGAAGGAGUGCAUGCCUGCUACAAACACUCCAACCAGUACCAGUUGAUUGACUGUACCCAGUACUUCCUGGACAAGAUGGAUGUGAUCAAGCAGGCUGACUCUGUGCCAAGCGACCAAGACCUGCUUCACCGCCAUGUCCUGACUUCUGGAAUCUUUGAGACCAAGCUCCAGGUGGACAAAGUCAACUUCCACACGUUUGACGUGGGUGGCCAGCAUGAUGAACGCCGCAAGGGGAUCCAGUGCUUCAGCGAUGUGACUGCCAUCAUCUUCAUGGUGGCCAGCAGCAACUGCAACAUGGUCAUCCGGGAGGACAACCAGACCAGCUGCCUGCAGGAGGCUCUGAACCUCCUCAAGAGCAUCUGCAACAACAGAUGGCUGCACACCAUCUCUGUGAUUCUGUUCCUCAACAAGCAAGACCUGCUUGCUGAGAAAGUCCUUGCUAGGAAAUCAAAGAUUGAGGACUAUGUUCCAGAAUUUGCUCGCUACACUACUACUGAGGAUACUACUCCUGAGUCUGGAGAGGACCCACACAUGACCCCGGCAAAGUACUUCACCUGAGAUGAGUUUCUGAGGAUCAGCACUGCCACUGGAGGGAGCACCACUAUUGCUCCCUCACUUCACCUGCGCUGUGGACACUGAGAACAUCCGCCGUUGUUCCACGACUGCCAUGACAUAAUUCAGCGCAUGCACCUUCGUCAGUAUGAGCUGCUCUAAUAAGGGAACCCCCAAAUUUAAUUAAAGCCUUAAGCACAAUUAAUUAAAAGUGAAACAUAAUUGU